ACUCCCUUUCCUCACAAUCAUUUUCCCUUUUUCUUUAUUUUUUCUCUCACUCCAAUCUUUCUGGCUCAAUUGUUUCAGAGUCUCGUUUUCUGGUCUUGAUUUGCAUUUUGAUUCGUUUACUCAUUGAAUCGGCGAGAAAAAUGUUUGUUUGUUAAACGGGGAUCCUCAGCCUUUCUCUGUAAGAGCGGUUUACGGUAACCGAAUCUGGCUUUGUAUCGGCAUUUAGGUGAGGGGUUCGAAUCUUUUGGAAUGUGUGUAAUAGCUUUGCUAAGCCCUAGUAUGUCAUAUUGUUUUCUGGUCAUCAGAAAAGUGAAAAAGAGUUUGAUAUUCUGCGCUUCUGCGUAAUCGCAGUCAUCAAUGUCAAGUCUGUCAGUGCUUCUGGUUUUUAUUUGCAGGUUUUCCCCCUGGUUCUUGAUUCUUUGCAAUUCCUAGGUUUACCAAACUACAGUUUCCUUUUUUUUAAAGUAUUUUCUGGUGAUUUACAAAUACUUUGCUCUUUAAGAGUAACUGUUUAUUAUUCUAUUUUAUGUUGUUAUUUUCAAGAUUUCAACUUGAAUCUCCACAGUAAAAACCCAAUAUUUUCACUCAUUGAUCUCAACCUUUGCAGUUUGUUCUUUAGUUAUGUUUUACUGAGAAUCAAUCGAUCCUUCUGGCCUAGAUGGCAAAACCAGAGCUGACAUUAUCUGAUAGCAAACGUCCUUUCAUGAGAUAUGGUUAGUGCUCAUUAUUUUGUGAUCUUGGUCGAUCCUUGUAAUCCUCGACCCCAAAUAAAACCUGCCCAGGUGUAUUGUAUUUUCUGAGCAGGCUAUCUCUGUGAUUUUCUCCUGUAAUGAUGUGCGCCUCUUUUGCUUCUCUUCAAGGAGCUGCAUGCAAAGGUUGGUGGGUGACAGAUUUUUUGUAGUUGGAGCAUCAUGGAGAUUCUCGCCUCAAAAUCCAAUAAUUCAGGCAAGUAACAAGUCCAUUUUUGUUUCAGGUUGUUCAGUAGCAAUAUGUGCAGUAGAUAUUAUGUGUUGGGCAUAGGAUGACCUAGUUUUGAUGAUUGUUGUGCAUUAGAUAUUACGAGUUGGGCAUAGGAUCACCUAGUUUUGAUGACACUUGUGCAUUCUGAUCUAUCUGGAGAAUUUCUCCACAACCCAACUCAACUCGGUUGGCUUAGUAGGGACUGAUCCCCUGAUUAUCAAUGACUCAGAAUUACAAAAUAAAUGUACUGUAGAAAUAAACUCUGAGAAACCCUUUAGUACUCUCUUGAAUUCAAGUAUCUGGGUUCUUCUGGGUUAUGAGUUAGGGUUAUAGGCUUCAAUGAUAAUUCCUAAGUUGUUGAACUUUGAGGUGAGAAUCUUGAUAAUGCUACAAAAAUAAGUUGAGGAGAAGAUGGUGAAGCUGAGUUCUGCUUCCCUCCCUAUGCUACUGAAGCUGAGUUCAAGCUGAGAAGCCAGUCUGACAGAGAUGAUGAUAAAGCUUAAUUGUGUUGGAGAGAAAGUACUAUUGUGGAAGUAGUUGAAAUGGAGAUACUACAUUGUUCAUUAUUGGAGUAGCUUCAAACUUUGAUCAAACCUUUGCCAUUGGCCAGCCUGAAGUCAGUUUUAGGGGCAUUCAGCAUUCUUCAUCUUGUACAUUUUUAUACCACGUUGUUUUUGGUAAGUUGGCGCAUACAAACAGAGUCAGUCCUUUACAGGUGCACAGAUAUUUAUAAAACAAGGAAACAUCUUCACAUGUUAGCUAAGCACCAUCCUUCAAAAUAGAGAAAAAAGGGAUUAACUUGUUUACAGAUUUAAGUUGAGACAAAUUCUUUUACCUCUUUUUAUGUGAGAAGUAUGUCUUGUUAUACUCAAUCUUCAUCUUCAUUGCAUUUGCAGUGGGCUUAGAUAACAUUCUGCUGAUUUAAAGUAAUGCCCACUAUGGUUUGAAGGUAAGUAAUUCAUUAUCUGUAUUGUUGUACUUGUAUUGUUCUACUCACUCAAUCACUGAUGUAAAUUUUAUUCCCAAUGCUGGGAGAUUCUGUUAUCUUAAUAAGUUUAUUCUAAGCUAAAAGUUGAAGGUAAUCAGAGGUGCCAAUCGAUUCCACCAUGUAUGGAGAUUUUAGUGCAGUGAUUGAUUGUUAUCAAUAUUUCCUCCAUUUUUUUUAAUCUAUUGCAGUACUCUCAUC
Molecule: long non-coding RNA, 2146 nt
Organism: Cryptomeria japonica (Japanese cedar)
Lineage: Eukaryota; Viridiplantae; Streptophyta; Pinopsida; Cupressales; Cupressaceae
Exons: 2
Source: RefSeq, a predicted model, not a curated record